Molecule: small nucleolar RNA, 85 nt
Organism: Apodemus sylvaticus (European woodmouse)
Lineage: Eukaryota; Metazoa; Chordata; Mammalia; Rodentia; Muridae
Source: RefSeq, a predicted model, not a curated record
GCAGCUUGUGAUGAGGAUGUCUCCCACUCACAUUCGAGUUGCCCGACUGUGAGAUGACCCUACAUGCACUACCAUCUGAGGCUGC